GCUUACCAUGCAGUCGAACGAUGAACCACUUCGGUGGGGAUUAGUGGCGAACGGGUGAGUAACACGUGGGCAAUCUGCCCUUCACUCUGGGACAAGCCCUGGAAACGGGGUCUAAUACCGGAUACGACACUCUCGGGCAUCCGAUGAGUGUGGAAAGCUCCGGCGGUGAAGGAUGAGCCCGCGGCCUAUCAGCUUGUUGGUGAGGUAACGGCUCACCAAGGCGACGACGGGUAGCCGGCCUGAGAGGGCGACCGGCCACACUGGGACUGAGACACGGCCCAGACUCCUACGGGAGGCAGCAGUGGGGAAUAUUGCACAAUGGGCGAAAGCCUGAUGCAGCGACGCCGCGUGAGGGAUGACGGCCUUCGGGUUGUAAACCUCUUUCAGCAGGGAAGAAGCGAAAGUGACGGUACCUGCAGAAGAAGCGCCGGCUAACUACGUGCCAGCAGCCGCGGUAAUACGUAGGGCGCGAGCGUUGUCCGGAAUUAUUGGGCGUAAAGAGCUCGUAGGCGGUCUGUCGCGUCGGAUGUGAAAGCCCGGGGCUUAACCCCGGGUCUGCAUUCGAUACGGGCAGACUAGAGUGUGGUAGGGGAGAUCGGAAUUCCUGGUGUAGCGGUGAAAUGCGCAGAUAUCAGGAGGAACACCGGUGGCGAAGGCGGAUCUCUGGGCCAUUACUGACGCUGAGGAGCGAAAGCGUGGGGAGCGAACAGGAUUAGAUACCCUGGUAGUCCACGCCGUAAACGGUGGGAACUAGGUGUUGGCGACAUUCCACGU
This 774-nucleotide ribosomal RNA is filed under the name Streptomyces deccanensis. RNAcentral's name for it is "bacterial SSU rRNA". It matches the Rfam family "Bacterial small subunit ribosomal RNA", at positions 46 to 837 of the family's 1533-position model. The record is from RNAcentral. Lineage: Bacteria; Bacillati; Actinomycetota; Actinomycetes; Kitasatosporales; Streptomycetaceae.